This 502-nucleotide ribosomal RNA is filed under the name uncultured bacterium. RNAcentral describes it as "bacterial SSU rRNA". It matches the Rfam family "Bacterial small subunit ribosomal RNA", at positions 28 to 524 of the family's 1533-position model. The record is from RNAcentral.
GAUGAACGCUAGCGGCAGGCCUAAUACAUGCAAGUCGAACGGCAAGAUUUGGUAGCAAUACUAAAUCCUAGAGUGGCGCACGGGUGAGUAACGCGUACAUGACAUACCUAUAAGCGAGGGGUAGCAUUGGGAAACUGGUAGUAACCCCUCAUGUGAUUAUUUGUAAUAAAGGUAAAUAAUUAAAACUACGGUGCUUAUAGAUUGGUGUGCGUCUGAUUAGCUAGUUGGCGAGGUAACGGCUCACCAAGGCGACGAUCAGUAGGGGGCGUGAGAGCGUGAACCCCCACACGGGUACUGAGACACGGACCCGACUCCUACGGGAGGCAGCAGUAAGGAAUAUUGGUCAAUGGAGGGAACUCUGAACCAGCCAUGCCGCGUGCAGGAUGAAAGCCCUCUGGGUUGUAAACUGCUUUUAACAGGGAAGAAAUGCUAUACGUGAUAUAGUACUGACGGUACCUGAGGAAUAAGCACCGGCUAACUCCGUGCCAGCAGCCGCGGUAAU